AAUUCAAUAGUGUCUGUAGAUAUUGUGGGAGCUGACAGACAAGACUAAUAUGCCACCAAGAACACGUUUAAAUACUUAAAACAUUUGAUUCUUCAAUCAAAAUAACAACGUAAUAAUCUGUAAAUAAAUUGAAUUCAUGUUUCACACGAAGGCCCGUUCACGUUUUGUGUCAAAUCGGAUCCCGUUUGCUACAGUUUUCGCGCACUACACGCGGUGACUUGGCAGCACAAAGCUAUGGAAAAUGCAUGACAAUUAUGAACGGGAUCAAGAGACGUUGAGCUUGGCAGAGGAGAAAUGUGAUCUUCAAAUUGCAGAAUCAGAGGGGAGUCUCUGAGGCAUUCCAAAGAUUCAGAUGUAGUAUCUGUGAGAAGGUACUAAAGUGUAAAGGUGGAUAUACUGUUCAUCAGCAGAUGGACUUGAAGUCAAAAGAAAAGGAGACAGUUCAGGCAUUUCUACAGAUUUCCAAGCGUGAAUGCUCUUAUGUCCAGCUGAGAACAAAAAUGAUGAACAAGCAGAAAGUACAGCAGCAAAGGACAAGGAAGAGAUGGCACACAUUUCAAGAAUAAGAUUAACUUAAAAAGUAUGCAGAUGAUUUCUAAGGGAUGUUACAGUUGGGAAUUCACUUUCCCAGUAAAGUACAGAUACUAUGUAGCUAGUACUUUGCUGGUGUGUGCUUUGAACCCACCCUCACAGAACUACAUAAUCAGCAAUUUAACCUGACGAAUGUUAGUCAAGGUCUCGUUCAGA
Long non-coding RNA from Haliotis rubra (blacklip abalone), 747 nucleotides. RefSeq lists it as uncharacterized. Lineage: Eukaryota; Metazoa; Mollusca; Gastropoda; Lepetellida; Haliotidae. The record is from RefSeq and is a predicted model, not a curated record. The transcript has 4 exons.